This is a long non-coding RNA of Canis lupus familiaris (dog), 3659 nucleotides long. RefSeq lists it as uncharacterized. Lineage: Eukaryota; Metazoa; Chordata; Mammalia; Carnivora; Canidae. The transcript is spliced from 3 exons. The record is from RefSeq and is a predicted model, not a curated record.
UCUGUGUGCCCUUUUUCUUCGUUAGCAAGACAAGUCCUGCACUGUAGCUGGGCACGUGGCAUCCCUUCCCAAGGCUCGGUCCUGUACUUUGUGGUACAGAUUGCUGUGACCACAUGACCAUGUGCUAGCCAAUGGCAUGCGAGCUGAAAGAGGUACCCGACUUGCAGUUCAUGCCCCAAAAGGGGGAAAGAUUGUGCCCUCGCCCUUCCCUUUCUCCUUUUUUCACUGGCCAGAAUGUGAAGGCAAGAGUUGGGAACAGACAGUUUAGCCCUGAGGUGAAAGAUGAGUGUGGAAGAUGCAAAACAGGAUCCCAGGAGCCUGGUCCCAAACUGGAGAGCUGGCCUCUCAGCUCUGGACUGGCUGUGUUCAGACCGUAUCAUGAGAGAGGAAAAUCCUGCCUCUCUUAAGUCGCAAUUAUUUUGACUUUUGUUACAAUAGCCAGACCUGUUUUCUAAUGAACACUGGCAUUCAUUUUUAUACCCUUUGUGCAAACGAGCAUCUGGACCUCAAAGAGACAAAUAACUUGCCUGAAACUGCUUAUAGAACAGUCCCCUCAAGCUGCUCAAAUAUGAUACUUUCUCUUAGAAUUCCUCUCUGAUAUGGAAAUGCCAGUGAAGUCGUGCAGCUCUUCCCCCACACCAAAGGAAUAGCCAAAUCUGAAGGAAACGUGUUCUGGAGCAUCUGCCUGGCUGAGUGGGCAAGUGUCCAUUCUGUUAACUUCCAUCCUGAACUCCCACCUCUUCAGAAGCUGAGUUAGUUUUGAGGUUCAGGUAACCUAUAUGCAGUACCGAGACGCUUACUUGUGUGAUGCCAAAAAAUGAGAUAUGACAGCCAGCGUUUGCUUCAGUCUCCUCCGACAAAGAGAGGAUGCAUCUUCAUGGUGAUCUCAGCACUUCUGAUGCCAUUUGGAAAUUUGGAAACAGCUUGACUAUAUUUGUGAGCCAUAACUUGAUCUCAGUCAUCUCCAAAGCUAUUUCCGGGAGAAGCCUGGCCUUUCUCAGUAAUCAGGAAUCAAAUUCUUGACCUUGAAGAUGGGAGAAAGAACAGAAUGCUUCUUGGUACCACUAUCAGCUGGAUGAAAUUUGAAAACAUCCCCCAGGAUAAAAAGGGGGACAUGCACGGAUAUUUGUACUGCUUUUACCAAUAUCUAGGAUGAACUUGGAGCCAGUAGGCUGGUACUCCAGAGAAAGAGAAAACCAAGUCGGGAGCUUUGGAAACACACGCCUGAGGCCAGGGCUCAGAUGCAAGGGUCAUCAGGCAUCAGGACUCUGAGUUGAGACCAGAAUGAAGAGUGGUCAGUAUCACUUUCAAUGACUGUUUACCAAACCACCUUUGUAUUCACCCUUUUAAUUUAGGGUCCCCAAAGUAUGGUCCUGUUCUUAUGCUCUCAUAAACUUCAGUAAAACCAGGAAGUAAACAAGUGUUUAUUGAACCGACUUACAGGAAGGAAUGAAAGAAUGGUGGUCUCCUUAAUCAUUUCAGGAAAUUUGAAUAUUAACCUAAAUGAAUUUCUAAGUAGUAGAGGCAAUGAGAAGAAAAUGUUUGGGAGCAAGAGCCUCUUUCUAAAAGCAAAGAGACUAGGGUCAUAAACUCAUCUCUUUUCUCCCCGACUUCCUCCUCCACCUCCCUCCACAUAAUAUCCUUCUUGGUGGCAGGUAUAGGACAUCCAUCUGUGCUAUUUUCCUCCUCCAUCAGGUUCUUGCCUGGUGCCUGGAACCCACACUGCUCUGUCUUCCUCCAUUAGUAAGAACAAGGAAAUUGCCUACCGAACAACAGUUCUACUUAGAUAUCCUAGAGGGACUAUAAAUGCCAUCUGAAAAAAUCACUCCCUACACCCAUACCUGCUGAAGGACCUCUGUUAUCAUGGUAUCAUUGCCCACUUGGCCAAGUGAAGAGUUUGGAGAUACUUGGUUCCCUAGGUGGUACUUGAGCUACCAUGAAGGUUUGCGUAGGAGUUUGUAUGCAGUGUGAAGCGUGGGGGGAAGAGGUGUUUUGGAAAACAGAGAUUGUGUCUCAAUGAUAGUGACAAUGUUUCCAUACUGAAGCACCGUAAUGCAUGUGGAUGAUUCAGAAACAGAAUAAGGUUGUGCCAGACAGACACGAAGCCCGGAAGCACCAUGGUUCCUUUCUCCUAUAAAACACAGUCCAACAAGCAAACCAAAAGUAAUUGGAACCAAUCCAUAUUUUUCCUCAGUUUCUCAGGAGAUGGUCAAAGGUGGGCUGGCAUAGAUGAAGUAUGUUUUCAUGCCCAAGAAAAGUAGCAACCUGUUGCACAAAUCCAUUCUCCCCUUAUUCACCAUGCUUCACACUCAUCGCUCCCUAAUAUCUUCUAAAAUCCUCCCAACUCUCAACUCCCAACUUCAAUUCUCAUUCUCUUUCCCAUAUAAAUCUUGCAGCUUCUCCAGAUUACCCCCAGCUAUUAACUUACACCAAACUUCAUAAUAAGGCCCAGGUGGGGAUCCCUGGGUGGCGCAGUGGUUUGGCGCCUGCCUUUGGCCCAGGGCGUGAUCCUGGAGACCCGGGAUCGAAUCCCACGUCGGGCUCCCGGUGCAUGGAGCCUGCUUCUCCCUCUGUGUCUCUGCCUCUCUCUCUCUCUCUCUCUGUGACUAUCAUAAAUAAAUAAAUAAAAAUUAAAAAAAAAAUAAGGCCCAGGUGAAUGUGUGCGUCUGCGUUGGUAGGGAGCCUCUCCUGGAGUGACGGAAAUGGGCUGAUUCAUUCACUUUGUCUCUGCCUGCCACGCUCCUCCUCCAGCUAUCUGCAUGACUUUCUUAAAAACCCCACUACCGAAAACACACAAACAAAAAAGCCGAAGAAGAAAAAGAAAGCCAAACUUGAAAAUAAAAAGGUGAGUAGUUUGUCUUUUCAGCGUGCUUUAGGUACCUUGUUUAAUAGGCUCCCACAAGGGUGGUUUAGGGAAAUGUACUCUAUUUGGCUCACUGUUUACUAGUGAUUAAAAGGCCUAGAGGUAGUGAAGUUUCUCGUUAGUUUGUAGAUUUUCUUCCAGGAGACACCAAAUAAUCUCUGUCUGUUAGAGAAUUUCCAAGAAUAGAGUUUAUAUCAAAUAUAGUAGGACUUUAACCAGAUUUGUCUCUAAUCUAACAUUUUUUUCUUAGUUGAGCAUUCCGUUAUUAAACUUCCUGUGAACACUGGAUUUUUGAAUUCCCUUUAAACCAGUCUUAACAUUUUAUUGAUCCUUUACUAACUACCAAGCAGAAUGAAUUUUUGACAUGUGUUCAGUUUCUAUUUAUAUGAGAGUUGCUUUCUGACUUUUUGAAAAUUACACUUUAACAACUCUCAUGGAACCCUAACUUCCUUCAGAUGCCUGCUCAAAUGCCGCUUUCCUGUGGAGGCUUUCCUCGACCACGCAAUGGAAAAUAAGACCUUGUGUAGAUACUCAGCAUUUCCUAGCUCCCUUCCUUUGCUUCCCUAUAGUAUUUAUGUCCAUUUGAUAUUUUAUUUUGAUUUUUCUUUUGUCUUUAGCCACUAGAAUGGAAGCUCUGUGAAUUUAGGGACUCUACAGCCCACUCCCUGAUCAAUAACUGGCAAAUAGGGAUCCCUGGGUGGCGCAGCGGUUUGGCGCCUGCCUUUGGCCCAGGGCGCGGUCCUGGAGACCCGGGAUCGAAUCCCACAUCGGGCUCCCGGUGCAUGGAGCCUGCUUC